GUUAGGAAUAUUGGACAAUGGGCGCAAGCCUGAUCCAGCCAUGCCGCGUGAGUGAUGAAGGCCUUCGGGUUGUAAAGCUCUUUAGUCCACGAAUAUAAUGACUGUAGUGGAAGAAUAAGCCCCGGCUAACUUCGUGCCAGCAGCCGCGGUAAUACGAAGGGGGCGAGCGUUAUUCGGAAUCACUGGGCGUAAAGCGUGCGUAGGCUGUUUUGUAAGUCAGAAGUGAAAGCCCAGGGCUUAACCCUGGAAUUGCUUUUGAAACUACAAGACUCGAAUUCGGGAGAGGAUAGCGGAAUUGUCAGUGUAGCAGUGAAAUGCGUAGAUAUUGACAGGAACACCAGUGGCGCAAGCGGCUAUCUGGACCGAUAUUGACGCUGAGGCACGAAAGCGUGGGGAUCGAACAGGAUUAGAAACCCGGGUAGUCC
This 425-nucleotide ribosomal RNA is filed under the name uncultured bacterium. RNAcentral describes it as "partial 16S ribosomal RNA". It matches the Rfam family "Bacterial small subunit ribosomal RNA", at positions 354 to 796 of the family's 1533-position model. The record is from RNAcentral.